UGAGAAUCCCCAUAUGUGCUUGGCAGCCACGCCCCUGAGAAACCUCUUUCCACGAAGUCGAGUUGUUUGGGAACGCAGCUCAAAAAUGGGUGGUAACUCUCAUCUAAAGCUAAAUAUUGGCCAGAGAUCGAUAGCGCACAAGUAGAGUGCUCGAAAGAUGAAAAGCUCUUUGAAAAGAGAGUCAAACAGUACGUGAAAUUGUAGAAAGGGAAGCGCUUGCAACCAGACCUGCCCGCGGGUGAUCAGCCGGUAUUUUUACCAGAGCACUCACCCGUGGUCAGGCCAGCAUCGGUUUGGGUGGCUGGAUAAAGUCCACUGGAAUGUAGCUCCUCUCGGGGAGUGUUAUAGCCAGAGGUGCCAUGCAGCCCGCCCGGACCGAGGACCGCGCUUCGGCUAGGAUGCUGGCGUAAUGGUUGUAAGCGACCCGUCUUGAAACACGGACCAAGGAGUCUAACAUCUAUGCGAGUGUUUGGGUGUCAAACCCAUGCGCGUAAUGAAAGUGAACGGAGGUGGGAACCCUCAAGGGUGCACCAUCGACCGAUCCUGAUGUCUUCGGAUGGAUUUGAGUAAGAGCAUAGCUGUUGGGACCCGAAAUAUGCCUGAAUAGGGUGAAGCCAGACAAACCGCAGCGGUUCUGACGGCAAAUCGAUCGUCAAAUUUGGGUAUA
Molecule: ribosomal RNA, 667 nt
Filed under: Acarospora strigata
Lineage: Eukaryota; Fungi; Ascomycota; Lecanoromycetes; Acarosporales; Acarosporaceae
Description: partial large subunit ribosomal RNA
Rfam family: Eukaryotic large subunit ribosomal RNA
Source: RNAcentral